RNAcentral lists this long non-coding RNA (343 nucleotides) under Salvia miltiorrhiza (redroot sage). RNAcentral describes it as "long non-coding RNA (SMIL_LNC008850)". Lineage: Eukaryota; Viridiplantae; Streptophyta; Magnoliopsida; Lamiales; Lamiaceae. The record is from RNAcentral.
UGACGUGUCGCUUACGUGGUAAUACCAAGCUGACCUGUCGCCUACGUGAUAAUACCGAGCUGAUGUGGCACGUACUUGGAAAAAUAAUAAACAAAAAAAUAAAAAAAAUCAUUAUUUUCCCUCCCCCUUCUCCAAGUCGGCUGGUGGACCGUUGCCAAAGGACCGCCGCUGCCUUCCUCCGGCGAAGCAGCGCCGAGGAAUACCACCUCCGCCUUUCUCCUUCUCCCAUUCCAGACCUCACGCCACCUCCCACAAUCACCAAAUCAGUCGCCUUCCUCUUUCGCCGCAUCGAACCCCCUCUACCGCCCUCUCUCUCUCCACCGCCCUCCACCAUCACCAUCAU